ACUCAAAGGAAUAGACGGGGGCCCGCACAAGCGGUGGAGCAUGUGGCUUAAUUCGAGGCAACGCGAAGAACCUUACCUGGAUUUGACAUAGAUUGGACCGGUGUAGAAAUACACUUUUCCGCAAGGACUGAUUUACAGGUGCUGCAUGGCUGUCGUCAGCUCGUGCCGUGAGGUGUUCGGUUAAGUCCGGCAACGAGCGCAACCCAUGUUAUCAGUUGCCAGCAGGUAGAGCUGGGCACUCUGAUGAGACUGCCCGUGUUAAGCGGGAGGAAGGCGUGGAUGACGUCAAGUCCGUAUGGCCUUUAUAUCCAGGGCUGCACACGUGCUACAAUGGCUGUUACAGAGGGAAGCAAUGCCGCGAGGCGGAGCGGAUCCGUAAAAGCAGCCUUAGUUCAGAUUGCAGUCUGCAACUCGACUGCAUGAAGCCGGAAUCGCUAGUAAAGGCGUAUCAGCCACGACGCCUUGAAUACGUUCCCGGGCCUUGUACACACCGCCCGU
Molecule: ribosomal RNA, 498 nt
Filed under: uncultured bacterium
Lineage: Bacteria
Description: bacterial SSU rRNA
Rfam family: Bacterial small subunit ribosomal RNA
Source: RNAcentral